GUCAUUUCAACCAUCAAGCCCUCGCUUGUGUUGGGGUCCUGCGGCUGCCCGCAGGCCCUGAAACCAGUGGCGGGCUCGCUAGUCACUCCGAGCGCAGUAAUACAUCUCGCUCAGGGCGUGCGGCGGGCUCUUGCCGUUAAAACACCAAACUUUUUUCAAAGGUUGACCUCGGAUCAGGUAGGAAUACCCGCUGAACUUAA
This 200-nucleotide unclassified non-coding RNA is filed under the name soil metagenome. RNAcentral's name for it is "partial contains internal transcribed spacer 2 and large subunit ribosomal RNA". The record is from RNAcentral.